Molecule: long non-coding RNA, 6280 nt
Filed under: Sus scrofa (pig)
Lineage: Eukaryota; Metazoa; Chordata; Mammalia; Artiodactyla; Suidae
Description: lncRNA (ENSSSCG00000058099.1)
Source: RNAcentral
UUAACUCACUGAGCAAGGCCAGGGAUCGAAACGGCAACCUCAUAGAUAUUAGCCUGGUUCAUAACCCGCUGAGCCACAAUGGGAACUCCUAUCAUCCUCACAUUAGAGUUGAGGAAACAGGCUCAGAGAGGUUAAGUGGCUUCAUCAAGGGGACAGAGCUAGGCAGAGCCAGGAUCCAAGCUCAAGUCCACUGUCUUCAGAACAGAUGCUAUGUCUCCAUCACUCUGUGUUCUGCCUGGGCUGGUAGUUAGCCCAAGCUUGGGAUGGAUUCUCAGCCCUGAAUCACCUCACCCCGAGCUUGGAUUGUCCCUCUCAGCCUUAAUUCAAGAAUGAGACACUAGCCUUUAACCAAAUCUGCACUGGGGUACCCAGGCCCCCUGGUUCUCAGUGCUUCUACUGGGGUGAACCUGCUACAUCAGGAAUAUUGGGGAACACUGGGGAACAUUGGAGGUGGGCUCUAAAGCACUGCACAGACCCCCUGCUCCUUUGGCUGAUAUCCUGCCACUAUCUCCAUGUCUGGCUACACUGAGCUGCCCUUUGGCCCCAGCCAACACUACCUGCCUCCCCUGCAAAAUUCUGGUGGUCCUGGCUGCCACUGGUGUUCAGUUCAUGUCCUCACAACUGAACAAGAAACCGACACAAGAACCACUGAGCUUUACUACAUCUGCCUGCCAUACUCUUCCCAGCUGAACAAAUCAUUUGAGAAUCGAUUACGGAAUUUUUAUUCUGCACGGUGGCAGACCUGAAUUAAAAGAUGUGGCCCACAAGUGAACGGGUAGUUACAACUGUGGCCCAGAUAAUCCCCAAAGUGGAUAAACCACAAAGUGAAUGAGGCUUUUGUGGGCAGAUGAGAAUUGACACCACCUUGUGAGAUUGGAUGAAGGAAAAUCCAUUUAAGAAAACUCACUUGUAUGGAGCUGGAUUCUUUUCUCAUCCUGGAGGAGUUAAAUGAGGCUUUGUUGAAAAAAACAGGACUCCCCAAAGGAGGGGCAGAUGAAGAAGUGACAGCACUGAGCCCCUGAGAGAAAUAGCGACGGAUCCAGUCUUAUUUUUAAACCAACAUUUGUGAUUCAAACCAAGCUUAUAAGAACUGCAAUUCUCCAGUUUUUGCAUCUCUCUUUGGCCACCAGGAACCAGGGUGGUUUCUGAGUGAUACUCAGGACAUCAUGGUAAUUAAGCACACAGAGUUCCUGGGUUCCAAUCCUGGCUCUGCCAUUUAUUAUGUGUCUUCUGGCAAAUUAAGCAAUCACUGUGCCUUAGUUUUUCCAUCUGUAAAUGGGGACAGUAAUAGCACCCCCUUCUAAAGGGAGUUGUAUAGAUUUAGCAAGUUUCUGUGUGUGGAGUUUUUAGAUUAUUGCCUGGCAAUCAUGUUUAUCAUGUAGGUGUUAGUGAUUAUUAUGCUACUGAAAAUAGACAUGGAGCUGUUUUUGGAUCCAGUGGGUGACUUAUGAACCCAGUAGAUCCUAACAUCCUCAUAAUGGAUCUUGGAUCACCAUUCCCCAUGGUCCCUACCUUAUUGCUGGCAGGGCUUGGUCAGGCCAGAUGCUGAGCCUAACUCCAUGGUAAGACUCCAAACUUCAAAAAUGAAAAAAGGAGUUCCCGUCGUGGUGCAGUGGUUAACGAAUCCGACUAGGAACCAUGAGGUUGUGGGUUCGGUCCCUGCCCUUGCUCAGUGGGUUAACGAUCCAGCGUUGCCGUGAGCUGUGGUGUAGGUUGCAGACGCGGCUGGGAUCCCGUGUUGCUGUGGCUCUGGCGUAGGCCAGUGGCUACAGCUCCAAUUCAACCCCUAGCCUGGGAACCUCCAUAUGCCGCGAGAGUGGCCCAAAGAAGAAAUGGCAAAAAGACAAAAAAGAAAAAAAAAGAAAAAGAAAAAGCUGUUUUCCCAUUCUAGCAGUCUUUCACCAUUGGCAAAUAAUCCCCUUAGCAACAUUUGACCUUAAGAACUUACAAGGAAAAGGGCAAAACAUUUCAAGGAACAAGAGCUGGGUUUAUACUGCAGCAGAGUAGGGGGUGGCAGGUGGGAUCUCCUGGCCACUGUCAAAUGAUGUUGCCAGAGUCCCCCAGCCCCUCGCCGCCUGGAAAGCAUAGAAGCAACAGAAGGGGGUGUGUGUGGAGAGGGAGCUCUCUAUGGUCCUUGUCUCCUCCACCCUGGCCACAAAGACUAACUGCAGGGAAAAGGGGGCUCCUGUGGGGUCAGAGGGAGGACACCGCCAGGAAAGCCACUACUGGCCCUCUCUGGUGGCGUUAUUCCCUUUCCCUCCCAGUCUCCAAGGAUGGCUGCUUGAGCCUUUCACUCUCACUAAAUUAAGCUGAUAAAAUACAAAUGAAAAAAGGGGCGGGGGCAGGGAGGAGAGUAAGGCACAGUCUUGCUCUGCAUUUUAAUAACCCUUGGACUGUGCCUCAGACCAUUUUUAAUAAGAGAUUGACAGAUAGUGGUCACCUCCCCACCCCCACCUAUUACACAUCAGGCUCCAGAUCAAAAGCACCCUUUCCUCUCCUCCAGUAUAUCCCACUUGCCCUCUCCGUGACUGGAGGAUGGACAGAGGAUGCCACGCCCUUGGCAUGGUUUGCUGACCUCUUGAGUGUCAGGUCUGGAAGGGCAUCCCUAGUUACCCAAAGACAUGCUUCCCAGGGAUCUGUGCCCCAGAUGGGCAGCAUUGAGCCUCUGAUCUUUCCAGGGAGCCAGUUGUGGGGAUACAGACAGGCCCCCCACAAAGGCAAUUCCAGGGGGUGAGGUCUAUCUUGUUUGGUCCUAUGAGUAGCUGCCCCAGGUGCUCUAGCCCAGAGAUCUUUGCUGGACUGAGGAGAGCUGGUAGCAAGACGAAAAGAAGACAGGGUUCAAGUCCAGUGCCUGUGGCCAGAAAGUACUUGCUCCUGCUGCCAGUCUCAAGCCACACGGGGUCUCCCCGACCCCACAGGGAGAAUAUAUAUCAAAGCACCCGGUGCUCUCUGACCUCCACCCUCAAAACACAAUCCUCUCACCAUAAACAUGUCCAUCAAGAUAGAAAUCCAUUGACUGGGAGUUCCCGUUGUGGCGCAGUGGUUAACGAAUCCGACUAGGAACCAUGAGGUUGCGGGUUCGAUCCCUGCCCUUGCUCAGUGGGUUAAGGAUCCGGCGUUGCUGUGAGCUGUGGUGUAGGUCGCAGACGCAGCUCGGAUCCCGCGUUGCUGUGGCUCUGGCUUAGGCUGGCAGCUACAGCUCCGAUUAGACCCCUAGCCUGGGGACCUCCACAUGUCACGGGAGCGGCCCAAGAAAUGGCAAAAAAGACAAAAACAAAAAACAAAACAAAAAACUCCAUUGACUGAAGAUCCUCUAUGUGCUAUGGGUCACUAUGAGCCUUCAUACAGAAAAUGACAUCUCAUUUAACCCACACAGCAAUUCUAAGAGGAAGACAGCUGAUGUGGGGCUGGUCAGCCCGGCUCUGCAGUCUCAUCGCCAUAUCCCAUCUGGAGCUAUGAGAAGCAGAAACCUGGCAGCUUCCGAGGCAAAUGAAAAGCCAACCUUCCUCAAAUUGUUUUAUUUAAAGCCAGACUCCUGACUGUUUGAAGCCGCUUGAUUUUGGCAGUACUUGUUCCCGUUUCUUCUUCCUCGCUGCUUUUAAACAGCCCUCAGAGAUAACAGGAACACGUCGUUGCCCGCGCCUCGCUUGCAGAUGCUCAGAAGACCUCUGCCUCUCCCCACCCCCGCCGGCUGCUCGGAGCUGCAGCUGGGUGGCGCGCCUGUGAGCGUGGGCGCGGGGACGCGGCUGGGUUGGAGCAAGGCAGGGAGCCUGGAACUGAUCUGCACCUGAAGCAUAGGUACCGAGGAAGCCUUUUGCUUUUAUAGUGAGCAUCACCGACGUUCAACUUCAUUUAUAUCUCUAUAAAUGUAUACGGCUUUGAACAGGAGGCUUUACGGUUGGGUUUAUAAGUUCCACCUCCCUGUGGCACAGCCUGGGUCACCCUGAGGAGAUGACCCCUUUACGGACUGCAUGGCCUCUGCCCUUGGCGACAUAACCAUUUGCAGGGCUCUCAUCUGGUCCUCAGGGGAUCGCCCCUUUGCUGCCUGGGCUCUCCUGCAUGUGCCCUCUCACCCCUGGCUGGCAGCUGGCCCAGGCUGUGGGGAGGAGAGGGAGGACACCAGGCUGUCAGAUGACUUCCGUUCCACACCUGUCCCUUGGCCAGAGCCUGGCUGCUGACCUUGAUAUUGACAAGCUCACAGGAGAUGGCAAGACAGGCUGGCAAAACCUGGUUUAUGAAGGUAUCUGUUUUACAGAAUCCGUUUAGAUAAACAGCAUCCACACAGAUGCAGGUGCUCAGUGGCUGUGGGGUUUACAAUACUUUAGGAGACAGGCAGCCGCUUCUUUCCUGAUGCGCUGGCAGAGAUAAAUUCAAGGUAAUCUAUAUAAAACCCAAGCCUUUGAAAUUGCACACCGUCAAAUUCCACCAAUUACUCUAGCCCAGCCAGGAGGUGGCUGUUAGAUGUUCUUCUUAUGGAAAACAUAAUUAUAAAGGAAGAGAAAACGUUUCAUAAAUAAAACUCAGAAUGGCAGAAGAAUCUGGAGGGAGGGAAAGGCAGGAGAAAAGGAAUCCGAAGCUUCAGUCUCCAGUGGAGUGUGGAGUCGGGCUCAAAAACCCCAUACCUCCUUAAGGUUCAAAUUAAUUUCAGUCCAGCACAAUUUCCAGGUAAUUAAGUGGCAAGAGGUAUCUUUUAGAUACUUUUAAAUAUCAGCCAGCCGGGUUCUCGGUGCUAAAGGAGAAGAAAAAAAUAGCCAACACAUGCUCCUAAAACUAAGACGAUGUAAAACAAGGACCUACCUGGCCCAUUAGCACUUGAGAAGAAUAUAAAAUCCAGGUCAGCCCAGAUAAUUGUUAGCGUGUUAAAAUGCCAAGGACCCCAGGCUGCCCCCAGCCCCCAGGCCACAGGAAAUAGCUAGUGACACAUUCAUUCAUGCACCAUGCCAGGUGUUGUGUACUUGUGCUCCAUUUGAUUCUAUCUAAGAACUCUUUAAAGAGGUCAUGAUCUUUGUAGGCUUUUUUGGGGAGGCGGGGUGAGGAGGGCAGGGAAGAAGCCUGGGAGGAAGUUCAGAUUCAGACAGUUCAGUCAUGGCCCCAGGGCACAAGGCAGGAUCUGGUGGAGCAGGAAUCUGCAGCCAAGCUUUCCGGUAAUAAAGCCCCAGUCCUUGCUUCUGGCUGCAUUUCCCCCCCCCCCCCCCCGGGGGUCGGGGGAGGAGGGGAAGAGGGGUGGAUGAUGGGGGGAAGGGUAUGGCUAAGACCAGAGCAGCAGGAAGGAGUAAGAGAACUUGGGCUGUGUUGCAGAAAGUUCAAAGCAGCCGCACCACCUACUAGCUGUGCAGCCUCGGGCAAGUUAUUUAGCCUCUCUGAAUUUAGGAGCUUUAUUUUCCUCAUCUACAGGUUCUGUCCUCUGUGCCUUCGUAGGGAAAAGCGACUCUUUCAAUUCAAGUUGCGCCACCACCAGGGUUUUCCCUUCUCCUUCGGCGGGAGGAGGUUUUGCUCCUGGGAUGUGGUGAGGACUAAGCACUGAGCUCGGCACCUUCCACAUGGCAGCGUCCGGUAAAGAGAGCUCUUUGUCCUAUUCUGGUGAGAAUCAAGUGCGAGACUAUAUUGCCCAGCCUGGUAAAGUGCCCGGCACAUAUGAACAAGCAUAAAUGAUACCUAUCAUCAUCAUCACCACCAACACCACCAUUAUUAUAACAAGGGAAACAAACAUAGGAACUCCUGUACUUAGGCCGAGCAGAACCAAUAGCAAAUGAGGAAGUUUUUCUUGGGCUCUAUUAUGUUUUUCUUGAGCCAGGCCCUAUGCUGGACCCUCCCAGCCUUUGCAGGAUUGGUUAUCUAGGUGGAGAGGCACCUGGGUUUUCACAUACAAGAUUAGCAAUAAUACAAAAUGUAAAAUUCCUUUAAAGAUACUUAAAGGGAAUCACAAUAGAACCUGUUAUUAACUGCCAAAUGGGUGAGUAAAGCAAAAACAGAAAGGAGUUAAGUGGAGUUCCUGUUAUGGCUCAGCGGAAACAAAUCUGACUAGUAUCCAUGAGGAUGCAGGUUCAAUCCCUGCCUCGCUCAGUGGGUUAAGGAUCUGGUACGGCCAUGAGCUGUGGUGUAGGUCACAGAUGUGGCCUGGAUCUGGUGUGGCUGUGGCUGUGGCGUAGGCCAGCAGCUACAGCUCUGAUUCAACUCCUAGCCUGGAAACCUCCGUAUGCCAAGAGUGUGGCCCUAAAAAGACCAAAACAAACAAAGAAGUAAAAAAAAAAAAAAAGAAAGAAAGAAAGAAAAGAAAAGA